Molecule: ribosomal RNA, 614 nt
Filed under: Gatesona chaetophora
Lineage: Eukaryota; Metazoa; Annelida; Clitellata; Crassiclitellata; Lumbricidae
Description: partial 28S ribosomal RNA
Rfam family: Eukaryotic large subunit ribosomal RNA (bases 430-614)
Source: RNAcentral
UGAAACCGUCUAGAGGCAAACGGAGAGGACCGUAUGGUCCGCCCGUCGGAUUCAGUCCGCGAGCUCGGGCGGGGCGUCGGCGGCGCAUCCCUCGUGGGAGCGCUCCGGCGUCCCGACGUCCGGGCCGCGGCCGUACUUUCGGCGGGCGGAGCGCCACGACCGGUUCGCGGGCGGCGAGAAACCGCCGGGCAAGGUGACCUUCGCCUCGGCGCAGGAACAUAUAGGCCCGGCGCGCGGAGGCCCGUCGGCGGACCGAGGAAGACCGUCGCGGAGCGGCGUCGACCGCCCGUCGUGCUCCGGUGUUCGACUCGGGGGGACUGGUUCCAGUGCCCUCGGACCGCGCCGGUGCAUCGGCGGGACGGCCCGGCGUCGCGCCUGGGGUCGGUGGCGAAACGGCCGGCAACCUGUCCGACCCGUCUUGAAACACGGACCAAGGAGUCUAACAUGUGCGCGAGUCGUUGGGCGCUACGAAACCCGAAGGCGCAAUGAAAGUGAAGGCCCGGUCUCGUGCCGGCCUGGGUGGGAUCCGGGCGGCCACGGCCGUCCGGCGCACCACCGGCCCGUCUCGUUCGCGACGUCGAUGAGGCGGAGCAAGAGCGUACACGUUGGGACCC